This is a long non-coding RNA of Biomphalaria glabrata, 1996 nucleotides long. RefSeq lists it as uncharacterized. The record is from RefSeq and is a predicted model, not a curated record. The transcript has 3 exons. NCBI's taxonomy places the organism in Eukaryota, Metazoa, Mollusca, Gastropoda, Planorbidae.
GCGUACUAUUCACUUGCUGGCAGUGACUUCUAAGGGAAUGCCUGUGUGCAAUGAGACGGAGAAAAUCCAAAAAGCACCUCAUUGCAAAGGGAUAUAAAUGUCACAGAUAUGAUCUACACAUUUAGUGCCCUUAGCUACACUUGAUUUUACCUCGAAACAGAAGAGUUCUAGGUCUAACACCAACUGCAGUGCUAUUCAUAAAACUGGUAAUAUAAAGAUCUACAAUAAAUAUAAAAGAUUAUAGUGUAUUUUUUUUUGUUACAAAGUUCGUGCUAUGAAGUUCAAAUACUUGCUCAUUUGUGUUCUGGUCGCUGACUUAAUCUGGACAAAUUGUUUAGAUGCAGCAGCUCUUCGAGCCCUAAUGCUCCCUGACGAUGGAGCUCCAAGGGAAGGUAAUCAAGGCAAUCAUGACUUACAGCGCCGCAACAGUGGUGGCCCCUUGUCUUUUUGUUGCAACAAUGGCAGGAUCGACCCGGCGAGAAAACUUUCGUUUGAAAGUGAAAGAACGUUUAACUAAUGUUAAACUUACGUUAAACUAAUGUUAAACUAGUGCUGUUAGCCGCCAAGCUAUAAACAUGUAAAUAAUACAUAAUAAAUGGAAAAGAAAAAAAAUACCGGUAUUAAUAGCGAUAUUCGAUCAUAGCUGAUACAAUUACAUAAACUGGCAGCAUGCAUGCAUUUUGAGAAUCUUUGUGUAUAAUUUUGGCAGCUUUAUCUUAAUGAAUCGUCUCACUACAAUUAGUUCAUGAUAAUGGUGUAAUUAUAACAUUCAUUGUGACUAAAAGGCCAGCAUUUUAUGUUAUAUUUAUACAAAUAAGCUCACUAAAGGGUUUUUGAAACAUUUUAUUAUUUGUUAUUUUUUCAUAAGCAGAUGUUUUCAUUUGUAUUUAAACUCUCAUUUUUUAUAAACAUCACACACACGUAUGCUCUGUCUGUCUGUCUGUCUCUCUUUCGCUCAAAUUCUCACAUAUUCUCAUGCUCUCUUUCACAGGUACAUGCUCUCUCUUUCUCUACCUAUCUAUCUCUGUCUCUACCUCUGUCUCUACCUCUCUAUCCGUCUUAUACCUCUCUCUUUCUCUCUCUCUCUACCCCCCCCUCUCUCUCUCUCUCUCUCUCUGUCUUUCUUACACCCAUCUUGACAAAAAAAGGAACUGUAAGUCAGUGUAAGCUAUAAUAUUGAAGCGAAACAAAGCAGACUAAAAGAGCCUUUAUUCCCAGUACACCUACGUAGAGAUAGAUACGCUCUGCACUUGAAACGGGUAGGGGAAGGGAAAAAAAAUGAGAAUGUUUUCAUCACAGAUAUGAGUGUUUCUACAUGUGGAUACUGUAAUGUACAAGAAUCAUAAAGAUUUUCUUCUUGUUAAAUAAAUAUUACAAAAUAAAGUGUUUUUUUUUUCAUAAUUUAGCAAUCUCACUUUGGUGUAAAUUUGUCUGAAACAAUGAUAGUUCAUAUAAAAUAUAAACUUCCAUGUUAGUUAAGAGAUUUUAAGCAUAUUUUUGUAAUUUAAAUUUUAAACGGUUCUUUCAUCCUGAUGGCUUUAUUCAAAUAUUACUGUCCUUUUUUUAGAUAUGGUCACUCACUUGUACAAAUUCCUAUUUCAUUUGUAAAUAUUCAUAAUGCCCAAUUAUAAUAUGUACAUGUACUUAUUACAUUUACUAAAUAUUAAUUUAAGCAUUUCAAUACAUAAAAAACUAAGGUAAAUGGGAUAGUGCCGUAAAUUGCAAAAUAAUAAUAAUAAUUUAAAAAAAAAGUAACUAUUCAAUUUUAGGAUUGCCAAACUAAACUUUUAUGUUUUGAUUUUGUUUGAUUUAUUACAUCGUAUUUCGUACAGAAAAAAAAAUGAGCUGAAUGGUUAACAUUUUGGACUGUAUUUUAAGUAGGACUCUCACUUUCAGGUUAAGUUGUUAUAUUCUAAUACAAUAUGCCCCUGAAUCGUGCCAUUUUUUAUUACAUAUUAUACUUUUUUAAACGCACGUACGUAUCGUUUCUAUAUCA